This 610-nucleotide unclassified non-coding RNA is filed under the name Nostoc sp. C19-a. Its description in RNAcentral is "partial contains 16S ribosomal RNA and 16S-23S ribosomal RNA intergenic spacer". The stretch from base 352 to 424 matches the Rfam family "tRNA". The record is from RNAcentral. Lineage: Bacteria; Bacillati; Cyanobacteriota; Cyanophyceae; Nostocales; Nostocaceae.
GGCGCGGCGUGGCGAACUCCCGUUUAAGUCGUAACAAGGUAGCCGUACCGGAAGGUGUGGCUGGAUCACCUCCUUUUUAGGGAGACCUACACCCCUCAAAACUCGAAAGCAAAAUGCCAAUAGAGAUUGAGUUGGUCUAACCUAGGUCGGUCGCAAAAUUUGCUGAGCUUUCAAACUAUAGAUUGGUUCGGAUAAUGGGCUAUUAGCUCAGGUGGUUAGAGCGCACCCCUGAUAAGGGUGAGGUCCCUGGUUCGAGUCCAGGAUGGCCCACCUGAAAGUAAUUAGUAAUUACUAAUUAGUAAUUCGUAGUUAAUUACGAAUUAAAAAUUAUAAAUUACGAGUUAUUUGGAUGGGGGUUUAGCUCAGUUGGUAGAGCGCCUGCUUUGCAAGCAGGAUGUCAGCGGUUCGAGUCCGCUAAUCUCCACAUCGUGUGAAAGUUACAGAAAAAAAAAUUAACAACUAAUUAUCGGUCAAGAUAAGAAAUUGUUAUCAUAAUCUUAGCAAUGAGCAGCACAAUGUGAUUAAGAUAAAAGACCGACAAACUCACCAAUUGAUUGAUAGACAAUACAAUCGAACUGCUGGGAUAAUCUCAGCCAGAACCUUGAAAAAC